AUUGAACGCUGGCGGCAGGCCUAACACAUGCAAGUCAAGCGGAUGAAGGGAGCUUGCUCCUGGAUUCAGCGGCGGACGGGUGAGUAAUGCCUAGGAAUCUGCCUGGUAGUGGGGGAUAACGUCCGGAAACGGGCGCUAAUACCGCAUACGUCCUGAGGGAGAAAGUGGGGGAUCUUCGGACCUCACGCUAUCAGAUGAGCCUAGGUCGGAUUAGCUAGUUGGUGGGGUAAAGGCCUACCAAGGCGACGAUCCGUAACUGGUCUGAGAGGAUGAUCAGUCACACUGGAACUGAGACACGGUCCAGACUCCUACGGGAGGCAGCAGUGGGGAAUAGUGGACAAUGGGCGAAAGCCUGAUCCAGCCAUGCCGCGUGUGUGAAGAAGGUCUUCGGAUUGUAAAGCACUUUAAGUUGGGAGGAAGGGCAGUAAGUUAAUACCUUGCUGUUUUGACGUUACCAACAGAAUAAGCACCGGCUAACUUCG
This 482-nucleotide ribosomal RNA is filed under the name uncultured bacterium. RNAcentral's name for it is "partial 16S ribosomal RNA". It matches the Rfam family "Bacterial small subunit ribosomal RNA", at positions 30 to 505 of the family's 1533-position model. The record is from RNAcentral.